Molecule: ribosomal RNA, 1322 nt
Filed under: uncultured organism
Description: bacterial SSU rRNA
Rfam family: Bacterial small subunit ribosomal RNA
Source: RNAcentral
UUGAGAGUGGCGAACGGGUGAGUAACACGUAGGUGAUCUACCGCAGGGGUUGGGGAUAGCGCCAUGGAAACAUGGGGUAAUACCGAAUACGCUCAUUUGGCUGUGGCCGGAUGAGGAAAGGCGCUUCGGCGCCGCCCUGCGAUGAGCCUGCGCCCCAUUAGCUAGUUGGUAGGGUAACGGCCUACCAAGGCGACGAUGGGUAGCCGGCCUGAGAGGGUGAUCGGCCACACUGGGACUGAGAUACGGCCCAGACUCCUACGGGAGGCGGCAGCUAAGAAUCUUCCGCAAUGGACGAAAGUCUGACGGAGCGACGCCGCGUGGGUGAAGAAGGCCGGAAGGUUGUAAAGCCCUUUUCUCGUUGAGGAAUAAGCACAGGAGGGAAUGCCUGUGGGAUGACGGUAGGCGAGGAAUAAGUCCCGGCCAAUUACGUGCCAGCAGCCGCGGUAACACGUAUGGGACGAGCGUUGUUCGGAAUCAUUGGUGCGUAAAGGGCGCGUAGGCCGGCGAGGUAAGCCUGGUGUGAAAGACCGCAGCUUAACUGCGGAACCGCGCUAGGAACUGCUUUGCUUGAGUUCAGGAGGGGGAGCUGGAAUUCCAGGUGUAAGGGUGAAAUCUGUAGAUAUCUGGAAGAACACCGGCGGCGAAGGCGAGCUCCUGGCCAUGAACUGACGCUGAGGCGCGAAAGCGUGGGGAGCGAACAGGAUUAGAUACUCUGUGUCCACGCGUAAACGAUGUGCACUAGUGUGGCCACGAAGGUCAGUGCCGAUCACGCGUAAGGCACCGCUGGGGAGUAGCUCGCAAGGUGAACUCAAAGGAAUUGACGGGGGCCCGCACAAGCGGUGGAGCAUGUGUUAAUUCGAUGAUACGCGAGAAACUUACCAGGGCUUAAUAUCGGAGUGUGCAGGAACUGCGCAGCCUUGGGCCGGUAUACAGUGCUGCAUGCGUGUCAGCUCGUCCGUGAGUGUUGGUUAAUCCCGCAACGAGCGCAACCCUACCGUCUGUUGCCAGCAUUGAUUGGGGACUCAGGCGGAACUGCCGGUGACAAACCGGAGGAAGGUGGGGACGACGUCAGGUCAUCAUGGCCCUUAUGUCCUGGGCUACACACGUGCUACAAUGGCCGGUACAGAGCGAAGCAACACCGCGAGGUAGAGCAAAUCGCAGAAAGCCGGUCUCAGUUCGGAUUGGAGUCUGAAACCCGACUCCAUGAAGUUGGAAUCGCUAGUAAUCGCGCAUCAGCAUGGCGCGGUGAAUACGUUCACCGGGCAUUGUACACACCGCCCGUCACACCACCCGAGUUGGGGGUACCCGAAGUCGUUUGCCUA